AACCUUCUGUAUCCGUGCUGAGAUUUCGUCACACACCAGACCACAAGGGCUGAUGAGA
This 58-nucleotide microRNA precursor is filed under the name Schistosoma mattheei. RNAcentral's name for it is "mir-3492 microRNA precursor family". It matches the Rfam family "mir-3492 microRNA precursor family", at positions 1 to 58 of the family's 79-position model. The record is from Rfam by way of RNAcentral. Lineage: Eukaryota; Metazoa; Platyhelminthes; Trematoda; Strigeidida; Schistosomatidae.